GUGGGGAAUAUUGGGCAAUGGGCGCAAGCCUGACCCAGCAACGCCGCGUGAAGGAAGAAGGCUUUCGGGUUGUAAACUUCUUUUACCAGGGACGAAACAAAUGACGGUACCUGGUGAAUAAGCCACGGCUAACUACGUGCCAGCAGCCGCGGUAAUACGUAGGUGGCGAGCGUUAUCCGGAUUUAUUGGGUGUAAAGGGCGUGUAGGCGGGACAGCAAGUCAGAUGUGAAAACCAGAGGCUCAACCUCUGGCCUGCAUUUGAAACUGUUGUUCUUGAGUGUCGGAGAGGUAAUCGGAAUUCCGUGUGUAGCGGUGAAAUGCGUAGAUAUACGGAGGAACACCAGUGGCGAAGGCGGAUUACUGGACGACAACUGACGCUGAGGCGCGAAAGCCAGGGGAGCAAACGGGAUUAGAUACCCCAGUAGUCC
This 428-nucleotide ribosomal RNA is filed under the name uncultured bacterium. Its description in RNAcentral is "partial 16S ribosomal RNA". It matches the Rfam family "Bacterial small subunit ribosomal RNA", at positions 354 to 796 of the family's 1533-position model. The record is from RNAcentral.